This 492-nucleotide ribosomal RNA is filed under the name uncultured bacterium. Its description in RNAcentral is "partial 16S ribosomal RNA". It matches the Rfam family "Bacterial small subunit ribosomal RNA", at positions 29 to 507 of the family's 1533-position model. The record is from RNAcentral.
AGUGAACGCUGGCGGUAGGCCUAACACAUGCAAGUCGAACGGCAGCACAGUAAGAGCUUGCUCUUACGGGUGGCGAGUGGCGGACGGGUGAGGAAUACAUCGGAAUCUACUUUUUCGUGGGGGAUAACUUAGGGAAACUUACGCUAAUACCGCAUACGACCUACGGGUGAAAGCAGGGGAUCUUCGGACCUUGCGCGAUUGAAUGAGCCGAUGUCGGAUUAGCUAGUUGGCGGGGUAAAGGCCCACCAAGGCGACGAUCCGUAGCUGGUCUGAGAGGAUGAUCAGCCACACUGGAACUGAGACACGGUCCAGACUCCUACGGGAGGCAGCAGUGGGGAAUAUUGGACAAUGGGCGCAAGCCUGAUCCAGCCAUACCGCGUGAGUGAAGAAGGCCUUCGGGUUGUAAAGCCCUUUUGUUGGGAAAGAAAAGCAGCAGGUUAAUACCCCGCUGUUCUGACGGUACCCAAAGAAUAAGCACCGGCUAACUUCGUG